CCUACGGGUGGCUGCAGUGGGGAAUAUUGCGCAAUGGGCGCAAGCCUGACGCAGCAACGCCGCGUGAAGGAAGAAGGCUUUCGGAUUGUAAACCUCUUUUAAGAGGGAAGAGCAGAAGACGGUACAUCUUGAAUAAGCUUCGGCGAACUACGUGCCAGCAGCCGGGGUAAUACGUAGGUGGCAGGCGUGGUCCGGAUUUACUGGGGGUAAAGAGCGUGCAGCCGGGACGACAAGUCAGUCGUGAAAUCCCCCGGCUCAACGGGGGAACUGCAUUUGAAACUGUUUUGCUUGAGUACCGGAGAGGUCAGCGGAAUUCCAUGUGUAGCGGUGAAAUGCGUAGAUAUAAGGAAGAACACCAGUGGCGAAGGCGAAUGACUGGACGGCAACUGACGGUGAGGCGCGAAAGCGUGGGGAGCAAACAGGAUUAGAUACCCCAGUAGUC
RNAcentral lists this ribosomal RNA (442 nucleotides) under uncultured bacterium. RNAcentral's name for it is "partial 16S ribosomal RNA". It matches the Rfam family "Bacterial small subunit ribosomal RNA", at positions 338 to 795 of the family's 1533-position model. The record is from RNAcentral.